RNAcentral lists this ribosomal RNA (328 nucleotides) under uncultured eukaryote. RNAcentral's name for it is "partial 18S ribosomal RNA". It matches the Rfam family "Eukaryotic small subunit ribosomal RNA", at positions 1470 to 1796 of the family's 1831-position model. The record is from RNAcentral.
CCCUUAGAUGUUCUGGGCCGCACGCGCGCUACACUGACUGGUGCAACAAGUGUCUGACCUUGGCUCGAGAGGCCUGGGCAACCUUUGAACGCCAGUCGUGCUGGGGAUAGAUUCUUGCAAUUAUUAAUCUUCAACGAGGAAUUCCUAGUAAACGCAAGUCAUCAGCUUGCAUUGAUUACGUCCCUGCCCUUUGUACACACCGCCCGUCGCUCCUACCGAUUGAGCAAACCGGUGAAUAGUUUGGACCGUCGGCUUUCUCGGUUCGCCGGGUUAGCAGUGCGGAAAAUUCAGUGAACCUUNUNGCUUAUNGGAAGGAGAANUCGUANCA